AGAGUUUGAUCAUGGCUCAGAUUGAACGCUGGCGGCAUGCUUAACACAUGCAAGUUGAACGGGCAUGAAGGGGGCAACUCUUUUGUGUCAGUAGCGAACGGGUGCGUAAUGCGUGGGAAUCUACCUUAAAGUGGGGGAUAACUCGGGGAAACUCGAGCUAAUACCGCAUAGUCUCUACGGAGUAAAGGGGGCGCAAGCUCUCGCUAUAAGAUGAGCCCCACGUCGGAUUAGUUAGUAGGUUGGGUAAAGGCCGACCUAGACGAUGAUCCGUAGCUGGUCUGAGAGGAUGAUCAGCCACACUGGGACUGAGAUACGGCCCAGACUCCUACGGGAGGCAGCAGUGGGGAAUAUUGGACAAUGGGCGCAAGCCUGAUCCAGCAAUGCCGCGUGUGUGAAGAAGGCCUUCGGGUUGUAAAGCACUUUCAGUAGGGAAGAAAAGCUCAGUGCGAAUACCACUGAGUAUUGACAUUACCUAAAGAAGAAGCACCGGCUAACUCUGUGCCAGCAGCCGCGGUAAGACAGAGGGUGCGAGCGUUAAUCGGAAUCACUGGGCGUAAAGCGUGCGUAGGCGGAUAGUUAAGUCGGAUGUGAAAUCCCUGGGCUCAACCUGGGAACUGCAUUCGAUACUGGCUGUCUAGAGUAUGGUAGAGGAAAGUGGAAUUCCCGGUGUAGCGGUGGAAUGCGUAGAUAUCGGGAGGAACAUCAGUGGCGAAGGCGACUUUCUGGACCAAUACUGACGCUGAGGCACGAAAGCGUGGGGAGCAAACAGGAUUAGAUACCCUAGUAGUCC
RNAcentral lists this ribosomal RNA (790 nucleotides) under uncultured bacterium. RNAcentral's name for it is "bacterial SSU rRNA". It matches the Rfam family "Bacterial small subunit ribosomal RNA", at positions 8 to 796 of the family's 1533-position model. The record is from RNAcentral.